This 497-nucleotide ribosomal RNA is filed under the name uncultured bacterium. RNAcentral's name for it is "partial 16S ribosomal RNA". It matches the Rfam family "Bacterial small subunit ribosomal RNA", at positions 28 to 507 of the family's 1533-position model. The record is from RNAcentral.
GAUGAACGCUGGCGGCGUGCCUAAUACAUGCAAGUCGAGCGAACAGACGAGGAGCUUGCUCCUCUGACGUUAGCGGCGGACGGGUGAGUAACACGUGGAUAACCUACCUAUAAGACUGGGAUAACUUCGGGAAACCGGAGCUAAUACCGGAUAAUAUAUUGAACCGCAUGGUUCAAUAGUGAAAGACGGUUUUGCUGUCACUUAUAGAUGGAUCCGCGCCGCAUUAGCUAGUUGGUAAGGUAACGGCUUACCAAGGCGACGAUGCGUAGCCGACCUGAGAGGGUGAUGGGCAAAACUGGAAAUGAGACAGGGUCCAGACUCCUACGGGAGGCAGCAGGGGGGAAUUGUCGAAAAGGGGCGAAAGCCUGACGGAGAAACGCGGGGGGGGUGAAGAAGGUUUUCGGGUUGUAAAGCCUUUUUUUUGGGAAAGAAAAAAAGUAGAUGAAAAUAUCGCUGUUUUGAGGGGACCUAAAGAAAAAGCAACGGCUAACUUCGUG